UUGGCAAAACUAUUGAAAGAUAGUGACGCAAAGCCAUGGGUCUAAACCGUAGGGUAUGACAGCCGGUUGCCGC
Molecule: non-coding RNA, 73 nt
Filed under: Anaerotruncus massiliensis (ex Togo et al. 2026)
Lineage: Bacteria; Bacillati; Bacillota; Clostridia; Eubacteriales; Oscillospiraceae
Description: Cyclic di-GMP-I riboswitch
Rfam family: c-di-GMP-I riboswitch aptamer
About the family: GEMM was predicted in a large-scale screen for bacterial structured RNA regulatory elements. Genes associated with GEMM are involved in a diverse array of functions, including chemotaxis regulation, signal transduction, secretion and chitin.
Source: RNAcentral